RNAcentral lists this ribosomal RNA (508 nucleotides) under Ampelisca environmental sample. Its description in RNAcentral is "SSU rRNA". It matches the Rfam family "Eukaryotic small subunit ribosomal RNA", at positions 1319 to 1645 of the family's 1831-position model. Lineage: Eukaryota; Metazoa; Arthropoda; Malacostraca; Amphipoda; Ampeliscidae. The record is from RNAcentral.
UUAAUUCCGAUAACGAACGAGACUCUCCCCUGCUAACUAGUCGGUUGGAUCUUGCUGGACGAGUUGGGCGCCGGGUGUCGUGCGGUUUUGCGCGUGCGUUCCGUGUUGGUCUCGGGCUGGUUGGGUGAAAGCUCUUCUGGUUCGUUGGCUGCGCGGGCGUGCUGUGUGAGCCCACGCCUCGGGUAGCUACACUCCAAGUCCGCCGUUUGUGAAACAUAUCUUCUUAGAGGGAUACACGGUUCUGAAACCGUCAGAGACUGAGAGCAAUAACAGGUCUGUGAUGCCCUUAGAUGCUCUGGGCCGCACGCGCGCUACAAUGCCGGGCACAGCGGGCACAUUUCCUUCUCCGACAGGAGCGGGUAACCCGUUGAAAGCCCUUACUCUGUUUCAGUCUCGCAUUGCCUCGUGCUUUGCGAACGGCGUGCUUGGGCCUGGGGCUUGCAAUUCUUUCCCACAAACGAGGAAUGCCUAGUAGCGGCGGGUCACUGAGCCCGCUGUGAACUCCAGU